AUGACCAGACCCACUGUGCUUGCUUUGGGCAUGAACAGCCAUGGGGACAUCAACGUGGUGGAGAAGACCCUCUGCAGGAGCCCCAGGUGCCCCCCCGUCCUGAUCUGCCUCCCUCCCUCCAGGAAGGGCGAGAGCUGUGGCUUCGGGCUGAGG
Molecule: long non-coding RNA, 153 nt
Organism: Athene cunicularia (burrowing owl)
Lineage: Eukaryota; Metazoa; Chordata; Aves; Strigiformes; Strigidae
Exons: 3
Source: RefSeq, a predicted model, not a curated record